AGACUAGUAUGAAAGGCAUCANNNNNNNNNAACUGUCUCCUUUUUCCAAUCAGUUAAACUAAUCUUCCCGUGAAGAAGCGGGAAUAAACAUAUAAGACGAGAAGACCCUAUGGAGCUUUAAACACAUGGCACUUGUCCUUUAAUUCUACUCCCCGGAUCCUAAGCACUUGACAUUCUGACCAAAAGUUUUCGGUUGGGGCGACCACGGAGAAAAACUCAACCUCCGUGUUGUAUAAAUUUUUUUUAACCUAAAGCUACUCCUUUAAGUAUCAAUAAAUUGACAUCUAUUGACCCACCUUUGUGAUCAACGAACCAAGUUACCCUAGGGAUAACAGCGCAAUCCACUUUGAGAGCUCAUAUCGACAAGUGGGUUUACGACCUCGAUGUUGGAUCAGGGUAACCUAGUG
Molecule: ribosomal RNA, 407 nt
Filed under: Strabomantis bufoniformis (rusty robber frog)
Lineage: Eukaryota; Metazoa; Chordata; Amphibia; Anura; Strabomantidae
Description: partial 16S ribosomal RNA
Rfam family: Bacterial large subunit ribosomal RNA
Source: RNAcentral